GAAAUGCGAUAAGUAAUGUGAAUUGCAGAAUUCAGUGAAUCAUCGAAUCUUUGAACGCAGCUUGCGCUCCUUGGUAUUCCUUGGAGCAUGCCUGUUUGAGUAUCAUGAAAUCUUCAAAGUAAAUCUUUUGUUAACUCAAUUGGUUUCUACUUUGGUAUUGGAGGUCUUUGCAGCUUCACACCUGCUCCUCUUUGUUCAUUAGCUGGAUCUCAGUGUUAUGCUUGGUUCCACUCGGCGUGAUAAGUUAUCUAUCGCUGAGGACACUGUAAAAGGUGGCCAAGGUAAAUGCAGAUGAACCGCUUCUAAUAGUCCAUUGACUUGGACAAUACUUUUAUGAUCUGAUCUCAAAUCAGGUAGGACUACCCGCUGAACUUAAG
Molecule: unclassified non-coding RNA, 377 nt
Filed under: plant metagenome
Description: partial contains 5.8S ribosomal RNA, internal transcribed spacer 2, and large subunit ribosomal RNA
Rfam family: 5.8S ribosomal RNA (bases 1-105)
Source: RNAcentral